This 388-nucleotide ribosomal RNA is filed under the name uncultured bacterium. Its description in RNAcentral is "bacterial SSU rRNA". It matches the Rfam family "Bacterial small subunit ribosomal RNA", at positions 30 to 416 of the family's 1533-position model. The record is from RNAcentral.
ACUGAACGCUGGCGGCGUGCUUAACACAUGCAAGUCGAGCGGUAACAGGUGUAGCAAUACAUGCUGACGAGCGGCGAACGGGUGAGUAAUGCUUCGGAAUCUUCCUCGUAGUGGGGAAUAACCUGGGGAAACUCAGGCUAAUACCGCAUACGAACUACGGUUGAAAGCAGGGGAUCGCAAGACCUUGCGCUAUGAGAUGAGCCGAAGUCGGAUUAGCUAGUUGGUAAGGUAAAGGCUCACCAAGGCGACGAUCCGUAGCGGGUCUGAGAGGAUGAUCCGCCACACUGGGACUGAGACACGGCCCAGACUCCUACGGGAGGCAGCAGUGGGGAAUUUUGGACAAUGGGCGCAAGCCUGAUCCAGCCAUGCCGCGUGAGUGAAGAAGGCC